Cucurbita maxima (winter squash) is the source of this 347-nucleotide long non-coding RNA. RefSeq lists it as uncharacterized. Lineage: Eukaryota; Viridiplantae; Streptophyta; Magnoliopsida; Cucurbitales; Cucurbitaceae. The transcript is spliced from 2 exons. The record is from RefSeq and is a predicted model, not a curated record.
GUUAGUAGGCAUUCAUUUGAACAAACAAAUUCAACAAAAGAGUAAGCUAAGCAUUUCGGAUGGCUCAAGUGUGUCCUCUUGGAAAAAGUAAAUGGCCAGAAGUUGUGGGCUUAAAAUUUUGUGUUGCUGCUGAAGUAAUAGAAAGGGAGAAUCCUAACGUCAAAGCACAAAAGAUUCAAGUUGGGAGUCCAAGAAUUUUAAAUUUCAAUCCUUCACGAGUUUGGGUUGAUGUCAAUCAUGACGAUAUAGUUGUUUUGGUUCCUAUAGUUGGUUAAAAAUAUAUGCAUGUAUUAAUGUAAAAUAUAUGAAAUUACUAAUAAGGUACUAUCCAACUACCACUUUCAUUA